Molecule: long non-coding RNA, 259 nt
Filed under: Setaria viridis
Lineage: Eukaryota; Viridiplantae; Streptophyta; Magnoliopsida; Poales; Poaceae
Description: long non-coding RNA (SVIR_LNC007566)
Source: RNAcentral
UCGUUUGAUUCCACUGCAACAAACCUAAAGCUGUGCUAUGUGUCACAACCGUACAGUAGUAAAUAGAGUCCGAUCAGAACUGCCAAACCUGUUUCUUUCUGUUGAGAGAGCUCGCUAGCGACAGCCUCCCGGCCUAGCCCACGUCCGGCAUCCAGUAGUGCCUAUUGCUUAACAUUGCAGCCACAGGAUGCCGCUGCUAUUGUUAAUCCACCAUUUUUUUUGAAUACUCAUAUUAUGUUGCUAUGUUAGCUGAAUCAAA